RNAcentral lists this ribosomal RNA (234 nucleotides) under uncultured bacterium. RNAcentral describes it as "partial 16S ribosomal RNA". It matches the Rfam family "Bacterial small subunit ribosomal RNA", at positions 15 to 240 of the family's 1533-position model. The record is from RNAcentral.
GAUCAUGGCUCAGGAUGAACGCUAGCGACAGGCUUAACACAUGCAAGUCGAGGGGCAGCACAGGGUAGCAAUACUUGGGUGGCGACCGGCGCACGGGUGAGUAACGCGUAUGCAACUUACCUAUCAGGAGGGGGAUAGCCCGGCGAAAGUCGGAUUAACUACCCCAUGAAACGAGGGGUCCCGCAUGGGAAUAUUUGUUAAAGAUUCAUCGCUGAUAGAUAGGCAUGCAUUCCA